This 253-nucleotide ribosomal RNA is filed under the name uncultured bacterium. RNAcentral's name for it is "partial 16S ribosomal RNA". It matches the Rfam family "Bacterial small subunit ribosomal RNA", at positions 524 to 776 of the family's 1533-position model. The record is from RNAcentral.
GACAGGGGUCUCGAGCGUUAAUCGGAAUUACUGGGCUUAAAGGGUGCGUAGGCCGGCCCGCAAGUGCUUUGUGAAAUCCCCUGGCUCAACCAGGGAACUGCUUGGCAUACUGCGGGUCUUGAGGAAGGUAGGGGUUGCCAGAACUGUAGGUGGAGCGGUGAAAUGCGUAGAUAUCUACAGGAAUGCCGAUGGUGAAGACGGGCAACUGGGCCUUUCCUGACGCUGAGGCACGAAAGCGUGGGGAGCAAACAGG